Molecule: ribosomal RNA, 756 nt
Filed under: Salmonella enterica subsp. enterica serovar Agona
Lineage: Bacteria; Pseudomonadati; Pseudomonadota; Gammaproteobacteria; Enterobacterales; Enterobacteriaceae
Description: partial 23S ribosomal RNA
Rfam family: Bacterial large subunit ribosomal RNA
Source: RNAcentral
CGACCUUGAAAUACCACCCUUUAAUGUUUGAUGUUCUAACGUGGACCCGUAAUCCGGGUUGCGGACAGUGUCUGGUGGGUAGUUUGACUGGGGCGGUCUCCUCCUAAAGAGUAACGGAGGAGCACGAAGGUUGGCUAAUCCUGGUCGGACAUCAGGAGGUUAGUGCAAUGGCAUAAGCCAGCUUGACUGCGAGCGUGACGGCGCGAGCAGGUGCGAAAGCAGGUCAUAGUGAUCCGGUGGUUCUGAAUGGAAGGGCCAUCGCUCAACGGAUAAAAGGUACUCCGGGGAUAACAGGCUGAUACCGCCCAAGAGUUCAUAUCGACGGCGGUGUUUGGCACCUCGAUGUCGGCUCAUCACAUCCUGGGGCUGAAGUAGGUCCCAAGGGUAUGGCUGUUCGCCAUUUAAAGUGGUACGCGAGCUGGGUUUAGAACGUCGUGAGACAGUUCGGUCCCUAUCUGCCGUGGGCGCUGGAGAACUGAGGGGGGCUGCUCCUAGUACGAGAGGACCGGAGUGGACGCAUCACUGGUGUUCGGGUUGUCAUGCCAAUGGCACUGCCCGGUAGCUAAAUGCGGAAGAGAUAAGUGCUGAAAGCAUCUAAGCACGAAACUUGCCCCGAGAUGAGUUCUCCCUGAGACUUAGAGUCUCCUGAAGGAACGUUGAAGACGACGACGUUGAUAGGCCGGGUGUGUAAGCGCAGCGAUGCGUUGAGCUAACCGGUACUAAUGAACCGUGAGGCUUAACCUUACAACGCCGAAG